GCUGGGUGUGGUGGCGGACACCUGUAAUCCCAGCUGCUUGGGAGGCUGAGGCAGGUGAAUUGCUUGAGCCCAGGAGACAGAGGUUACAGUGAGCUGAUCAUGCCAUUGCACUCCAGCCUGGGCGAUAGAGCAAGACUCCGCCUUAA
Molecule: unclassified non-coding RNA, 146 nt
Organism: Papio anubis (olive baboon)
Lineage: Eukaryota; Metazoa; Chordata; Mammalia; Primates; Cercopithecidae
Rfam family: Metazoan signal recognition particle RNA
About the family: The signal recognition particle (SRP) is a universally conserved ribonucleoprotein. It is involved in the co-translational targeting of proteins to membranes.
Source: Ensembl